Molecule: long non-coding RNA, 3366 nt
Organism: Sceloporus undulatus (fence lizard)
Lineage: Eukaryota; Metazoa; Chordata; Lepidosauria; Squamata; Phrynosomatidae
Exons: 3
Source: RefSeq, a predicted model, not a curated record
GAUUAAAUUCAUUAGCGCUCCGCUCCGAGAGAGGAGAGCGCACACCAAGCGCCGAGGGUGGCGUAAAGGGGGGCUGCUGGGCAGAGAGCCUAUAAAUAACCCCGCCGAGGCGCUACCCUGAGCUCGGAAUGGCCCUGCUGGAGUGGGGCCUUAAAUCAAGCCAGGGCCGCCGCUUCCCGGGAGUCUGGCUUUAAUGGCUGGGAAGGGGAGGAGGGCCGGGCUGGCGGGGAGAAAUCGGAAUAACAAAACAAGGCCACCUUGGGCUGGCCUGACGCAGAAGGUCUGGCCGCUUCUCCCUACGCCGGGUUUAGAAAGAGAGGACGGGAAAUUUUUAAAGGAUUUAUCUACUUCUUCGUUUACACAAACACAUAAACACAGGGAGAGAGGGAGACACUGUGCCGGACACACACCUGGCACGUUAGCCCAUUUUUUCCUGGGCCAAGGGAUUCUGCUGUUGUUCUCUCUGCACAGAGCGAUCAAAACGGCCUCCUCCUCGGUCCUCAACCCCCUUUCUGGCACAGCAAAAGCCUCCAGGCUGCAAAGAGUCAGUCCACCCCAGACACAAGCCGCCAAGCUGGAACAGGGAUCGGGUUCCCUUUUGGAAAGGCUCACCGGUUUGGGCUGCGGUCCUAAGCAAACUGACUCGGGAGUACCAUGACUCCCUAGCAUGCUGAGAAAACUUUCUCCAGAAGCAUGUGAACUUCUUCCUACCUCGUUUUUCUUCUUUGCAACAUAAAGUCUGACCUGUGUGUUAAUAUGCAAAUGAUUUGCAUGGCCAUAGCGAACGACAGGAUUGGACUACUGCUCCCAUCAUCCCGCCCCAGUCCCAACGCAGUCGGGGAAGGUUGGAUCAGAUGUUGCUGGAUGCCUUCAAGUCAUGUCCCACUCGUUGUGACCCUAAGACGAAGCUAUGAUGGGGUUUUCAUGUUAGAAAUGUCACCAACAUUUCAUGGCAAGGUUGGUUCAGGAGAGGUUUGCCAUUGCCUUCCCCUAAGGCUGAGAGCAUGUGACUUGCCCAAAGUCACCCAGUGGGUUUAAUGGCCUAGCAAGGAAUGGAACUCUGGCCUCCUGAGCCAUAGUCCAAUACUCAAACCACUAGGCCAUGCUGUCUUAGAUUAGGAGAGGUCUCUUCAGUGCUUCCAGGUUUACGUGUCCUACUUAAAUCAGACUUUCCUCACCCAGAUUAAGUUCAGAUGACACUUGUGUCUGGAGGACUGCUGCCAGAAUGUGUGUGUGUGUUCACAUCAACAACAGCAGCCCAUUUAGCAAGUUGUUUAUUUCCCGCCUCCAAGCUUUGAAGUGGUUUCAUGCCAACUCCUACUUGGUGAGAUUUUUAUGAAAACCCAGCCAUGCGAAGUUAUGAGUCUAUAGGUACUAAAGAUUCAGCACCCAGGGCUUAGCAGAGAUCCUUCACCUAUCCAUCCCAGGUAUCAAGGAAGAAAAGGAGAGCUUUUCCCAGGGGAUUAAGCCAAGUUUAUUUGUAACCAGAACUGCACACAAAUUGGUGCAAGCCUUGCAACAUCUGUGGUAACAGAGUGCCACUGAGCAUAGGCAGAGUGUCUUUCUUACAUGUUGGACCAAAGACUAGGCCGCACUUUACCAGCUUAGCCUUACACUUCCUAGCCAGAGGAAGCUGCCUCCAAACAGACUCAGCCAUCUGCAUCCUGGGCUGUAAAUCCCUGUAGAAGUGAAGACCAACCACAGUCAAGGUAGCAAGAGAGUACAAUAGGCAUGAAGCAAACAAAGGAUGGGUUUCCACCUCAGGACUGGGACCUAGUUCUCAUUCUGUUGGAAAAUAUGUCUGCUGAAAGUGUACCACCACAACCAGUUCAGACUGCAAGAAUGUAUGGUGGUGUGCAUUCCUGUUUGUUGUGUGCCUUCAAGUCGUUUCUGACUUAAGGCAACCCUAUAAUAGGAUUUUCGUGGCAAGAUUUGUUCAGAAGAGGUUUGCCAUCUCCUUCCUCUGAGAGAGUGUGACUUGCCCAAGAUCACCCAGUGGAUUUCAUGGCCCAGCUGGAAAUCGAACCCAGCUCUCCAGAGUCAUAGUCCAAUACUCAAACCACUAAGGCCCCUUGAAAUCCAGCUUGUCAAACAAAAGCUUCACGGGGGCUGUGGGGAGGUGUUGUUGGACUGCAAGUCCCACUGGUUAUCACUAGGCAUGGCAGCCAAAGGUGAAGGAGGAUGGGAAAUACAGCCCAACAACAUCUCGAUAUGGAGGGGGGAGGGCCCUUUCCUUUUCCAUGUCGAUUAGCAUCCAACUCUCUGUAGCGUGAGACAGUGGUUUACCCCCCCCCCCGCGCCUGCUGUACGAAUUAGGGCCACCAGGCCUCACUUUGACCAAACUGCGAAGGGAGAACGCCAUUAACUUCCCGACCCCGGCUUUUUGUUUUAAUUACUAGAUGCGAGGGAUGAAUCAUCCUCUCAGGCACCUUCUGCUGGAAAGGGAGAUUGAGGGAGGGAUGGGAGGGAGUGAGUGGAUCCAUCCCUUGUUCCCUGGGCUGUCUGGGGAAGAGACUGGUGGCAGUCUGGGCUCCUCGACCCCCGGGGGGCUUCUCCUUUGAGAGACCUCCAGGCUGCAGAAGCGACCAGGCCCAUUCGUGACCGCGGGAGACUGUAGGCUGCGGGGAGGAGGCCAAGGCUAGCGGGCAAGGAGGUCUCCAAACGGCUGGGUUUUCCGUUCAAGGCAAAGGAGCUCUCAGGAGGGAGCAUCAACAACCGCGCGAUUGCUUCUCUUUUCUUCCUCCUUUUCUUGGCCUGCCUGAGCCCGAGGAAAUGACAAGGCGGAAUCGUUAGGAGCCGGGCUGCAGAAAUAGCAUAUGGAAGAGGGGCUCUAGCAGCCAUUCUCUCGGCGCGUGUUUUUAAUGAAUUAAAAGCAUAGGAGAAGGAGAAGGAGAAGUAAGUGUGGUCGUUAAAAUAAAGAGCAGCAAACUCUGAUAAUGAUUUCCAGCCCGUCCAAGCACUCCGUGGCUUCUUUAUUCUUAAAGUCAGAAACCAAUGUUAAGAACCUCUGUCUCGCUCUCAGAUCUGAAACGCCUCGUUUGCCAGCCAAAACCAUUAUUUCGGGAUACAAAGAGUGGGAAGACAUUUAAAUGAGAGAGACUUUCAAAGCCUGUCCCUUAGAAGGCUGGGGGGGGGAUGGGACACUUUGGACAGUUUGGGUAGCACUUUUGCAAAAAUGGUCAACCGGACUCUCAAACCAAAGAAGACCUGGUUCCCAGAUGACAACUGUCACAUCUAGAAACAGGCCGAUUGGCCAACAACACCCAGCUGCGAAUCUCAAUGAAAUUCAAGCAACAUAUUCAGGGGUAGCUGAAGAGAUAUUCCUCCUUUGUGGGUUUUAUUGUAUUUCUAUUAAAUUCGAGAGAU